This 501-nucleotide ribosomal RNA is filed under the name uncultured bacterium. RNAcentral's name for it is "partial 16S ribosomal RNA". It matches the Rfam family "Bacterial small subunit ribosomal RNA", at positions 30 to 523 of the family's 1533-position model. The record is from RNAcentral.
AUUGAACGCUGGCGGCAGGCUUAACACAUGCAAGUCGAGCGGGGGAAGGUAGCUUGCUACCGGACCUAGCGGCGGACGGGUGAGUAAUGCUUAGGAAUCUGCCUAUUAGUGGGGGACAACAUCUCGAAAGGGAUGCUAAUACCGCAUACGUCCUACGGGAGAAAGCAGGGGAUCUUCGGACCUUGCGCUAAUAGAUGAGCCUAAGUCGGAUUAGGUAGUUGGUGGGGUAAAGGCCUACCAAGGCGACGAUCUGUAGCAGGUCCGAGAGGAGGAGCCGCCACACUGGGACUGAGACACGGCCCAGCCUCCUACCGGAGGCAGCAGUGGGGAAUAUUGGACAAUGGGGGGAACCCUGAUCCAGCCAUGCCGCGUGUGUGAAGAAGGCCUUAUGGUUGUAAAGCACUUUAAGCGAGGAGGAGGCUACUCUAGUUAAUACCUAGGGAUAGUGGACGUUACUCGCAGAAUAAGCACCGGCUAACUCUGUGCCAGCCGCCGCGGUAA